UAUUAAAAUUUAAUUUAUUUCUACUAAUAAAAGUUGACAUGGCUGAUAGAAUAAGCAAACAAUGACAUAUGUCGUGUUAUGGCCCACGUGUACCUCAUACCGACAUACAAAGAUCAGUUUUUAACAGUAGAUAUAGAUAAAUUUUUGAACA
This 151-nucleotide microRNA precursor is filed under the name Gossypium hirsutum (cotton). RNAcentral describes it as "MIR7502 microRNA precursor family". It matches the Rfam family "MIR7502 microRNA precursor family". The record is from Rfam by way of RNAcentral. Lineage: Eukaryota; Viridiplantae; Streptophyta; Magnoliopsida; Malvales; Malvaceae.